GAAAGGGCGGGGUGCCUACCAUGCAAGUCGAACGGGGAUGCCAUUUUCGAGGUGAUUAGUUUACUAAGAGCCAAGAUGUUGGCAUCUUAGUGGCGGACGGGUGAGUAACGCGUGGGUAACCUGCCUUAUACAGGGGGAUAACACUUAGAAAUAGGUGCUAAUACCGCAUAAGCGCACGGGGCUGCAUGGCCCAGUGUGAAAAACUCCGGUGGUAUAAGAUGGACCCGCGUCUGAUUAGCUUGUUGGCGGGGUAACGGCCCACCAAGGCGACGAUCAGUAGCCGGCCUGAGAGGGUGGACGGCCACAUUGGGACUGAGACACGGCCCAAACUCCUACGGGAGGCAGCAGUGGGGAAUAUUGGACAAUGGGGGGAACCCUGAUCCAGCGACGCCGCGUGAGUGAAGAAGUAUUUCGGUAUGUAAAGCUCUAUCAGCAGGGAAGAAAGAAAUGACGGUACCUGACUAAGAAGCCCCGGCUAACUACGUGCCAGCAGCCGCGGUAAUACGUAGGGGGCAAGCGUUAUCCGGAUUUACUGGGUGUAAAGGGAGCGUAGACGGUUACGCAAGUCUGGAGUGAAAGGCGGGGGCCCAACCCCCGGACUGCUUUGGAAACUGUAUAACUGGAGUGCAGGAGAGGUAAGUGGAAUUCCUAGUGUAGCGGUGAAAUGCGUAGAUAUUAGGAGGAACACCAGUGGCGAAGG
RNAcentral lists this ribosomal RNA (700 nucleotides) under uncultured bacterium. Its description in RNAcentral is "bacterial SSU rRNA". It matches the Rfam family "Bacterial small subunit ribosomal RNA", at positions 31 to 721 of the family's 1533-position model. The record is from RNAcentral.